RNAcentral lists this ribosomal RNA (429 nucleotides) under bacterium. RNAcentral's name for it is "partial 16S ribosomal RNA". It matches the Rfam family "Bacterial small subunit ribosomal RNA", at positions 355 to 776 of the family's 1533-position model. RNAcentral also lists the same sequence under 5 other names. The record is from RNAcentral.
UAGGGAAUCUUCGGCAAUGGGGGGAACCCUGACCGAGCAACGCCGCGUGAGUGAAGAAGGUUUUCGGAUCGUAAAGCUCUGUUGUUAAGGAAGAACGAGUGUGAGAAUGGAAAGUUCAUACUGUGACGGUACUUAACCAGAAAGGGACGGCUAACUACGUGCCAGCAGCCGCGGUAAUACGUAGGUCCCGAGCGUUGUCCGGAUUUAUUGGGCGUAAAGCGAGCGCAGGCGGUUAGAAAAGUCUGAAGUGAAAGGCAGUGGCUCAACCAUUGUAGGCUUUGGAAACUGUUUAACUUGAGUGCAGAAGGGGAGAGUGGAAUUCCAUGUGUAGCGGUGAAAUGCGUAGAUAUAUGGAGGAACACCGGUGGCGAAAGCGGCUCUCUGGUCUGUAACUGACGCUGAGGCUCGAAAGCGUGGGGAGCGAACAGG